RNAcentral lists this ribosomal RNA (299 nucleotides) under uncultured bacterium. Its description in RNAcentral is "partial 16S ribosomal RNA". It matches the Rfam family "Bacterial small subunit ribosomal RNA", at positions 775 to 1067 of the family's 1533-position model. The record is from RNAcentral.
GGAUUAGAUACCCUGGUAGUCCACGCCCUAAACGAUGGACACUAGGCGUUAGAGGUAUCGACCCCUCUAGUGCCGCAGCUAACGCAUUAAGUGUCCCGCCUGGGGAGUACGCUCGCAAGGGUGAAACUCAAAUGAAUUGACGGGGACCCGCACAAGCGGUGGAGCAUGUGGAUUAAUUCGAUACUAACCGGAGAACCUUACCCAGACUUGACAUCGCGGGAAAGCCUAUGAAAGUGGGCCCUCUUCCCACAAGGAAGACCCAAAGACACCUGUUGCAUGGCUGUCGUCAGCUCGUGUCG